UGUGAGCAGAAACUCAUUUGUAGAAAAAAUGCAAGCUGCUUCAACACUGUUGGCAGCUAGUACUGUCAGUGUCACACAGGGUUCAUACCAGAGGAUACUAAACCAACUGUUAAUUUCACACAAGCGGAUAAGAUUCAGUGCAAAGACAUCAAUGAAUGUGUAGAGAAAAACACUGAUUGUGGCUCUAAUGCAACAUGUGUGAAUACUGAAGGAGGUUAUUAUUGCACAUGUGAAUCUGGCUUCAUUUUCAGCGGUGGAAACAAGACAUUUUUAGCAGAAUCAGGAGUUCAAUGUAUUGAUUUAAAAGUAGCAUGGCAGGAAGGAUG
Molecule: long non-coding RNA, 326 nt
Organism: Danio aesculapii
Lineage: Eukaryota; Metazoa; Chordata; Actinopteri; Cypriniformes; Danionidae
Exons: 3
Source: RefSeq, a predicted model, not a curated record